GACGAACGCUGGCGGCGUGCUUAACACAUGCAAGUCGCGGGGGGUGAGCGAUCACUCACCGGCGAACGGGUGCGUAACACGUGAGCGACCUGCCCACUUGUGGGGUAUAGCCGGCCCAACGGCCGGGUAAUCCCGCAUACGCUUCUCCGGCUGCAUGGCCGGGGGAGGAAAGCCGUAAGGCGCAAGUGGAGGGGCUCGCGGCCUAUCAGCUAGUUGGCGGGGUAACGGCCCACCAAGGCUACGACGGGUAGCUGGUCUGAGAGGAUGGCCAGCCACAUUGGGACUGAGAUACGGCCCAGACUCCUACGGGAGGCAGCAGUGGGGAAUCUUGCGCAAUGGUCGAAAGACUGACGCAGCGACGCCGCGUGCGGGAGGAAGCCCUUCGGGU
This 388-nucleotide ribosomal RNA is filed under the name uncultured bacterium. RNAcentral describes it as "bacterial SSU rRNA". It matches the Rfam family "Bacterial small subunit ribosomal RNA", at positions 28 to 423 of the family's 1533-position model. The record is from RNAcentral.